RNAcentral lists this ribosomal RNA (396 nucleotides) under Klebsiella sp. Nfb5AG. RNAcentral describes it as "bacterial SSU rRNA". It matches the Rfam family "Bacterial small subunit ribosomal RNA", at positions 989 to 1386 of the family's 1533-position model. The record is from RNAcentral. Lineage: Bacteria; Pseudomonadati; Pseudomonadota; Gammaproteobacteria; Enterobacterales; Enterobacteriaceae.
CAGAGAACUUGCAAGAGACGCUGUUGCCUUCGGGAACUCUGAGACAGGUGCUGCAUGUCUGUCGUCAGCUCGUGUGUGAAAUGUUGGGUUAAGUCCCGCAACGAGCGCAACCCUUAUCCUUUGUUGCCAGCGAUUCCGGNCGGGAACUCAAAGGAGACUGCCAGUGAUAAACUGGAGGAAGGUGGGGAUGACGUCAAGUCAUCAUGGCCCUUACGAGUAGGGCUACACACGUGCUACAAUGGCAUAUACAAAGAGAAGCGACCUCGCGAGAGCAAGCGGACCUCAUAAAUGUAUGUCGUAUCCGGAUCGGAGUCUGCAACUCGACUCCGUGAAGUCGGAAUCGCUAGUAAUCGUGGAUCAGAAUGCCACUGGUGAAUACGUUCCCGGGUCUUGUAC